This is an RNA transcript of Nycticebus coucang (slow loris), 1172 nucleotides long. It is a transcript of the gene named lysophosphatidic acid receptor 6-like, with no coding region annotated. The transcript has a single exon. The record is from RefSeq and is a predicted model, not a curated record. NCBI's taxonomy places the organism in Eukaryota, Metazoa, Chordata, Mammalia, Primates, Lorisidae.
AUGUUCAGCAUGGUGUUUGUACUUGGGUUAAUAUCAAACUGUGUGGCCAUAUACAUUUUCAUCUGCACCCUCAAAGUACGAAAUGAAACUACAACGUACAAGAUUAACUUAUGGCAAUGUCAGACUUGCUUUUUGUUUUUACUUUACCCUUUAGGAUUUUUUACUUUACAACAUGGGAUUAGCCAUUUGGAGAUUUACUUUGUAAAAUUUCUGUGAUGCUGUUUUAUACCAACAUGGAUGGAAGCAUUCUGUUCUUAACCUGUAUUAGUGUAGAUCGAUUUCCGGCCAUUGUCUACCCAUUUAAGUCAAAGACUCUAAGAACCAAAAGAAAUGCAAAGAGGGUUUGCAUUGCUGUGUGGUUAACUGUAAUGGGAGGAAGUGCCCCAGCAGUUUUUUUUUCAGUCUACCCACUCUCGGGGUAACAAUACCUCAGAAGCCUGCUUUGAAAAUUUCCCACAAGCCACAUGGAAAACGUAUCUCUCAAGGAUUGUAAUUUUCAUCGAAAUAGUAGGGUUUUUUAUUCCUUAAAUUUUAAACGUAACUUGUUCUAGUAUGGUGCUAAGAACUUUAAAUAAGCCAGUUACAUUAAGUAGAAGCAAAAUAAACAAAACUAAGGUUUUAAAAAUGAUUUUUGUUCAUCUGGUCAUAUUCUGUUUCUGUUUUGUACCUUACAACAUUAACCUUAUUUUAUACUCUCUUAUGAGAACACAAACAUUUGUUAAUUGCUCAGUAGUGGUGGCUGUAAGGACAAUGUAUCCAAUCAUCUCUGUAUUGCUGUUUUGAACUGUUGUUUUGACCCUACAGUUUACUACUUUACAUCGGAUAUAAUUCAGAAUUCAAUAAAAAUGAAAAGCUGGUCUGUUAGGAGAAAUGACUCCAGAUUCUCUGAAGUUCAAAGCACAGAGAAUUUUAUUCAACACAACCUACAGACCUUAAAAAGUAAGAUAUUUGACAAUGAAUCUACAAUAUAAGCUGCCUGAAAUAAGACAACAGGGACUUCACUGGGACAGAACUUUAAAGUUCCUUCCAACUUUGGGGAGUGUUUUCUUGGACAAGCUAUUUCCCCACUUCCAAAAGAAAAUUAACACAUGGACAUUUUAAAGUUUUUAGUAUAAAGAAGAUUUGUAUUCAAUGUAAGCAUUAAAAUAUAUUCUAUUAUUGUAUACAUUUCA